GCGCCGGUAACUCAGUUGGCAGAGCAGUGGGAUGAUAACCCACUGUCCCGGGUUCAAAUCCCGGCUGACGCU
Non-coding RNA from Phthorimaea operculella (potato tuberworm), 72 nucleotides. The record is from the annotation of a GenBank genome assembly. Lineage: Eukaryota; Metazoa; Arthropoda; Insecta; Lepidoptera; Gelechiidae.